UAGCCGCACGGGCGCACCCCUAUCCUUAUUUGCCAGCACGUAAUGGUGGGAACUCUAGCGCGAUACUGCCGGUGAUAAACCGGAGGAAGGUGGGGACGACGUCAAGUCAUCAUGGCCCUUACGAGUAGGGCUACACACGUGCUACAAUGGCGUAUACAGAGGGUUGCAAAGCCGCGAGGUGGAGCUAAUCUCACAAAGUACGUCGUAGUCCGGAUCGGAGUCUGCAACUCGACUCCGUGAAGUCGGAAUCGCUAGUAAUCGUGGAUCAGAAUGCCACGGUGAAUACGUUCCCGGGCCUUGUACACACCGCCCGUCACACCAUGGGAGUGGGCUGCAAAAGAAGUGGGUAGUUUAACCUUCGGGAGAACGCUCACCACUUUGUGGUUCAUGACUGGGGUGAAGUCGUAACAAGGUAGCCCUAGGGGAACCUGGGGCUGGAUCACCUCCUU
RNAcentral lists this ribosomal RNA (449 nucleotides) under uncultured Shewanellaceae bacterium. RNAcentral describes it as "bacterial SSU rRNA". It matches the Rfam family "Bacterial small subunit ribosomal RNA", at positions 1085 to 1532 of the family's 1533-position model. The record is from RNAcentral. Lineage: Bacteria; Pseudomonadati; Pseudomonadota; Gammaproteobacteria; Alteromonadales; Shewanellaceae.